GCUUGUCACAGCAUGAGCACUCUAUCCAGACAGAUGUCACAGCAGGAGUAAAUAGAACCAAAGAAUUUCUGUUUCAUUGUAUGUUUUUGAUGAAAACACUGUCUGUGCAAAACCUUGUCUCUUUGGAAGUGGAUACAGACAGAGAGGGUCAAAAAGAGAUAGAUUUUCAGAAGACUUGUGGCUUCAGGUCAGCAAUGGACAUCCGGAGACAGAAAUGCUUUGAGAGUCUGUUAAGUCUCCAGGUGAACAUCAUUGAUCACAAUCAGGAAAAUAGGGAACCUGCACUGGCACUGACACUCCGGGAGAGAUCAGACCUGAGGAACAGAGAGGGAGAAAGAGUGUUACUGUGAAACAUACCUCCGGUCUGCUUCUACUCAUACAGAAGCACUGGCAGAGAGACUUACCCGUAUUGGAGUUAGCCGUGGGAGGUGGAGCCAAGUGAGGGGAGGAGUAAGGAGAAGAUGAUUCAAAGUUCCGAGGGGGCGGAGGAGGGGCAGAGGGGGACGGAGGAAGCAUGCAGGAGUAAGAGGGAGCAGACUGGGGGGGUAAAGACUGAUAAGAGACAGGUGAGGUGAAUUACAAAAAGAGAGAUGACAACAGGCAGAGCAGGGACCAGGAGGGG
This is a long non-coding RNA of Megalops cyprinoides (Indo-Pacific tarpon), 622 nucleotides long. RefSeq lists it as uncharacterized. The transcript is spliced from 3 exons. NCBI's taxonomy places the organism in Eukaryota, Metazoa, Chordata, Actinopteri, Elopiformes, Megalopidae. The record is from RefSeq and is a predicted model, not a curated record.